This 202-nucleotide unclassified non-coding RNA is filed under the name Hevea brasiliensis (rubber tree). The record is from RNAcentral. Lineage: Eukaryota; Viridiplantae; Streptophyta; Magnoliopsida; Malpighiales; Euphorbiaceae.
GAAGGAGAAAAAAAAAACUUAUUUGUUGAUUGACCACUGGUUAUUUGAAGAGAAAACUAGUGAAUUAGGCAGUUGUAUGAUUCAGUUUGUUAAUUUUCAAGUUCAUCUUAUGUGCACAAUUGAUUUCAGGCUUUAUUAUAAACUUGUAUUCAUUUACGAACAAUCCAUCAUUGGAUGCAGAUAAAACGAGAAAUUGAGGAGU